This 413-nucleotide ribosomal RNA is filed under the name Perichaena patagonica. RNAcentral describes it as "partial small subunit ribosomal RNA". It matches the Rfam family "Bacterial small subunit ribosomal RNA", at positions 558 to 930 of the family's 1533-position model. The record is from RNAcentral. Lineage: Eukaryota; Evosea; Eumycetozoa; Trichiida; Trichiidae.
GCGUAGGGUACGUAGGUGGUGAAAGGAAAAGAAAAUGAAAUACUAGAUUAUCAUCUUUUCUGUUUUCUUGUAAUUUCACUUGAAUCUUAGAUGGGAUGGUGGUACUUUUUAAGUAACAGUUAAAUGUGUUGAGAUAAAAAGAACCGACGGUAGCGAAAGCGAUCCUCCUUUCAAGUAUUGAGCUAAGGUACGAAGGCAGGGGAGCGAAGAGGAUUAGAUACCCUCGUAGUCCGUGAGUAAACGCUGAGUUUUCAAUGUAGGGAAUUAAUUAAUAAAGAACUAAAAGUUUUUAUUUUAAAAAUAUAAUUUUUGUUAAAGAGUAAUCCUUGGUGUUCAAGUAACGCGUAAAAUACUCCGCUGGGAAGUACGGCCGCAGGUUGAAACUCAAAAGAAUUGAGGUGACUUGAACGAGG